This 487-nucleotide ribosomal RNA is filed under the name Enterococcus casseliflavus. Its description in RNAcentral is "bacterial SSU rRNA". It matches the Rfam family "Bacterial small subunit ribosomal RNA", at positions 28 to 490 of the family's 1533-position model. The record is from RNAcentral. Lineage: Bacteria; Bacillati; Bacillota; Bacilli; Lactobacillales; Enterococcaceae.
GACGAACGCUGGCGGCGUGCCUAAUACAUGCAAGUCGAACGCUUUUUCUUUCACCGGAGCUUGCUCCACCGAAAGAAAAAGAGUGGCGAACGGGUGAGUAACACGUGGGUAACCUGCCCAUCAGAAGGGGAUAACACUUGGAAACAGGUGCUAAUACCGUAUAACACUAUUUUCCGCAUGGAAGAAAGUUGAAAGGCGCUUUUGCGUCACUGAUGGAUGGACCCGCGGUGCAUUAGCUAGUUGGUGAGGUAACGGCUCACCAAGGCAACGAUGCAUAGCCGACCUGAGAGGGUGAUCGGCCACACUGGGACUGAGACACGGCCCAGACUCCUACGGGAGGCAGCAGUAGGGAAUCUUCGGCAAUGGACGAAAGUCUGACCGAGCAACGCCGCGUGAGUGAAGAAGGUUUUCGGAUCGUAAAACUCUGUUGUUAGAGAAGAACAAGGAUGAGAGUAAAACGUUCAUCCCUUGACGUAUCUACCAGAAG